AGGUAAACAAGGUGCAAACUUUAUAUGAUGUGUCAGUAGAUAAGGAAACCAGCUUUACUARAGUAAUUGUUGUGACAGGAAUGUAUUAGCUUCAGAAGCUACUGAGGUAGCCCACUCUGUCCUAAUACAGAA
Urocitellus parryii (Arctic ground squirrel) is the source of this 132-nucleotide small nucleolar RNA. NCBI's taxonomy places the organism in Eukaryota, Metazoa, Chordata, Mammalia, Rodentia, Sciuridae. The record is from Ensembl.